Non-coding RNA from Marmota flaviventris (yellow-bellied marmot), 1031 nucleotides. The record is from RefSeq and is a predicted model, not a curated record. NCBI's taxonomy places the organism in Eukaryota, Metazoa, Chordata, Mammalia, Rodentia, Sciuridae.
UUGCCAUCUUUGGGGAACUGCUGACUCUACUGUCAAAAAAAAAAAGAGGCAGAUUGUGUAGCAGGGAAUAAGCCCAAAAUUCAUAGUGCCAUCCUUGACUCCUCUCCUGUUACCAGGAUUCUGCUUCCUGGAUUUGCUCCACGUUCAGGCUUCAUCAGCUCUGCACUGAUGGGUUGACUGGAUACUGACUCCUCCUUUAUUUUCCAGUGCUGGAGAUCAAACCCUUGGUAGAGGAGCUACACCCCCGCCCCUCCUGCUCUGUUUGAGAAUAAACACAGAGGGGAUGUGUUCAAACCUCUUUUAUAAAACUGUCCUUAUUUUCUUUGGGUAAUUCCUUUCCCUUCAAGCUUCAUGAAUUUCAUAAACCCAGCAUGAUGCUGCAAACCAGGCUUGGGUGAGAUGCCCAGGACCCUGGGUCUUCCCUGUGUGUGUCCUUGUCUAGAGCCUGGUGAUAGUUGACACUCUGUCUGCUGAGCUGCUGUUCAUCUUUCAGGCUCAAGUCUGCCUCCUUCCUCCACUUCUCCCCUGAAUGUCUUCAACUGAGGCUUCAAGUAAGGUGUUUCUCCCUCAGAAGACCAGACCGUGGGCAGCAGAAGGGAGGAGCAACAGUCUGUCGUGUUCACUGCCCUGUAGCCAGCACCUAGCACAGGGCCUGGCAUACAGGAAGUGCUUAUUGAAGGUCUAGGGCCUGAAUGAAGGAACAGACCCCUCCAUCUUUCAAAUGAUGCAAAAAGAAGAGAAAGUUCUCCAAGUAACAGCUCCCAGGUUACACCCAGUUGUGUUCACAAGCACCCAGCAGAGAUGUUGAUAGAAAGAAGCCCUGGAGCUGGUCAGUGAAAUUAUCGCCCUAGGCGAGGUGAGAUCCUGGCUUCCUGGGAAUGUUCGGAAUCUUGGACGUCAAUAUCCUGGUCCCGCCACCUUUGGAUCUGAGCAUCCAGAGAAACUGGGUCAGAAUACUAUAGCGCCUAGAGUAUUUCUUACAACUAUGAAUCUACAAUUGUCUCAAAAUUAAAAGUUGAAUUUUUAAAACA